UACGUAGGGUGCAAGCGUUGUCCGGAAUUAUUGGGCGUAAAGAGCUUGUAGGCGGUUUGUCGCGUCUGCUGUGAAAACUCGGGGCUUAACCCCGAGCCUGCAGUGGAUACGGGCAGACUAGAGGUAGGUAGGGGAGAAUGGAAUUCCCGGUGUAGCGGUGAAAUGCGCAGAUAUCGGGAGGAACACCGGUGGCGAAGGCGGUUCUCUGGGCCUUACCUGACGCUGAGGAGCGAAAGCGUGGGGAGCGAACAGG
Molecule: ribosomal RNA, 253 nt
Filed under: uncultured bacterium
Lineage: Bacteria
Description: partial 16S ribosomal RNA
Rfam family: Bacterial small subunit ribosomal RNA
Source: RNAcentral